UUUUUCACAACUCCCAAAAAGUGAUGAGGAUAACUAAAUAUAUGUAUUAGAAUUUAGAAUCUCAUUUCCAUUAUUCUACCUAAAGUGCCGACCUUCUUCCCCAAACAAAAAAAAAACAGAGUCGCCAUCUUCCUCUUUCAAGUUAGAGUUUGUAGAGAAAUUUCAAGUAGCAACUGUAGUAUUUUGAAAGAAAAGGUGAAUUCUUAAAUUCUCUACCUAUUUGUGAUUCUAGCUUGAAGAAAAAAGGGUAUAUUUUGAAGUUUAGGGUUUCGAAAAUUUGGGGAUUUCAUGCUAGAGUUGAAGUAUGAUCUUAAUAUUGAGAUAUAUUAUGUUUUUGAUGUUCAUAAGCAUGAUUAUGGUGCUUAAUUGCGUAAAUUCUCACUGGAUUUUAAUUUUGCUCAAGAACCCUAGGUUGAGUUUGAGAGUUGUGAUUAUGUUCUUGAAUAAUUUAGUUCACAUAUGUGUUUUUGAGCUGGAAUUUAUGUCAUAUAUGAAUAAAUUAUGAGUUUACACCAUAUAGGAUGUGAGAUUGAGUUUGUUAGUUUAAUGGAAAUUAGGGCUUUUGAGUUAAGAAGGUUUAUAUGCUAUUAAUUGAUGAAUAUAGAUAUAUAUUAUGAUGUGAUUUUAUCAAAUAUGGAAAUUAGAACAGCCCUAAUGUAUGGAAAAUUGUUAUAAGAAUUGUUAUGUUGUAACUUGUUGGCUUUGUUGUGUUAAACAUGAGUUAAGUUUGAAGUUAAAGCAUUCUAGUAUGUAUUAUGAUCAUGUAUUUGAGUCUCUACACUUUUUAUUUGGCCAAAGUAUGAGUUAUAAGUUAAAUUGAAACAAAGAAUACAUUGCUGUCAGUUUUUAACUUGGCAGAACAGUGUCUCGUGGGAUGUUUUUGAUGAUGUUCCCGUAGUCCAAAUCUGUUGAAAUUUUUACAGUAAUAACUUCAUCAUGAGUAGUACGUGUCUGUAAAAUUUCAGCUAAAUCCAACACCAUUAGAUAUGUCGAACUAUUUUAUGAAAUGUACUGCGCGAAGCAGCGAAGUUCAGUGGCAGAUUUUGCCUUUCUUGAUAUAAUUUCUUAUACACUUGAGAUAUUGUGUUUCUGUAAAUUCAUGAUAAAUAUAGACUUUAAUAGAUUUCUAAAAAGGUAAAGCUUGUAUUUUUCUUUGAAGAAGUUGAUUUUAUAUGAUAUUUCAAAGUUAAGAUUCAUAUAUGAUUACAUAUUUGAGAUUUCUUACUUGAGCAAGUUAUUAAUAGAACUAUGCUAAGUGAUUGAUGUUUAGUUAUUAAUUGUAAGCUAAUCUAUAUAGAAUGGAUUAGUUUACUCUUAAGCUUUUCUCAAGUGGAGAUAUCCCAAGAGAUGUGAUGUUACUAUUUGCUUUUAGCUAAGUCCAUAUAAGUAGGAUACUCAAGUUAGAGGAUGCAACUUUCAAGUGAUAGAAGUUUCAUUCAAGAUUUACUUUCUACUUACUUAUUAUCCAAUCUUACUUGGGAACCUCAUUAUAAUGAAGGUUCGAAUGGCAGUGUAGAAUGAACAAGCAAGGACUUCUAUUUCAUUAAGCGUAUCAGGUGGGCUUACUAACUCAAGAGAUAAAGAUGCAUACUUUAUUAUAUAAAGUUUGAGUGUAUGCAUUUAUUUACAAAUUAUUGACUUGCCAAUCUUUGAGUUUUGUAUGAUACCAUCUACAUAGAAGAACGAAUUCGGGUCCUGAGCGAGUCAGGAUUUGUGUACACAGAGUUGACAGUUAACCUUUGUGUUAGCUUGUCAUCGUGUUUGAGAAGGAGGCCUACUUCUCAACACUCAGAGUUAUAUGAUGCGUAGAUAUGGUACAUACAUGUUAAUGUCUGCAGACGUAUAUGAUGUUAUAUAUGAUGAUUAUAGAGAAGUUUUACAGUUUUUGCGUGCACAGGUUAUUUAAGUAAAACUCUGUGUGAUGCUUGAAAUGGCAAGUUCAAUAUAUAGCUCUAAGAGCAAGCUUUUAAGUUAUUUCGGCAUGACCACUGAGUGCUUUUUGGUACUCAGCCCUGCGUAUGUUUUUAAAUAUGCAGGUUAAGCUGUGAUGCAGAUGGUAGCAAGCAGAGCAAAGCCUUCGGUGUAUAUAUGUAUAAUUUAGGCUCGGGAUUUCAUGUCCUCAUACAUGUAAUACACUUGAGUUAUUUCCGCUGCAACACUUAAUGUACUUACUUUAUUGAGUGUUGUAGAGAUUUUAAACCAAUAGCUU
Molecule: long non-coding RNA, 2209 nt
Filed under: Salvia miltiorrhiza (redroot sage)
Lineage: Eukaryota; Viridiplantae; Streptophyta; Magnoliopsida; Lamiales; Lamiaceae
Description: long non-coding RNA (SMIL_LNC004560)
Source: RNAcentral